GGUUCUCUCGGUAGCUGGAGUUAGCUCGGCUGUACGGUACGCCGACGGUCCGAAAACUCAUGCUGUUGAGUGCAAGAUCAAGAACUGCUGAAUUUUGACCUCUGUGCUGAUCUUCUGCUCUGCCCUAACCUGCAUUAAGAAAGCCAGAUCAGAUGAUGCCAGCUAGCCAAACUCAAUCCACCGGGUUGUUCGAAAAGGAAGGGAGAGGAGGUAACAGGAAGCAGUCAGCAGUGAAGGCAACUUCAUUGAUAUCAUUGCAGUAGUCCAUCCAUAUUCAGUACAGUACAUCGCCAACAAAAUCAUAUUCCCUAUGCAGCCUAACAAAUACUAAUCAGCACACAUCCAUCGUAUAGGCAGAGUGCCUUCCUAAGGUGCACAUUACCAGAAUCAGCAGGAGGGAGCAAGGGA
Molecule: long non-coding RNA, 408 nt
Filed under: Phasianus colchicus (ring-necked pheasant)
Lineage: Eukaryota; Metazoa; Chordata; Aves; Galliformes; Phasianidae
Description: lncRNA (ENSPCLG00000012613.1)
Source: RNAcentral